This 774-nucleotide ribosomal RNA is filed under the name uncultured Neocallimastigales. Its description in RNAcentral is "partial large subunit ribosomal RNA". It matches the Rfam family "Eukaryotic large subunit ribosomal RNA", at positions 24 to 643 of the family's 3401-position model. Lineage: Eukaryota; Fungi; Neocallimastigomycota; Neocallimastigomycetes; Neocallimastigales. The record is from RNAcentral.
UACGACUACAUAUCAGGCAUAUCAAUAAGCGGAGGAAAAGAAACUAACUAGGAUUCCCUUAGUAACGGCGGGUGAAGCGGGAAGAGCUCAAAUUUGAAAUCUUCAAGGUUUUACCUUGACGAAUUGUAGUUUAAAGAAGUGUUUUCUGUUGGUGUUUUGGUAAAAGUUCUUUGGAAUAGGACAUCAUAGAGGGUGAGAAUCCCGUAUUUGACCAUUACUUUCCAGCUGUGUGAUACACUUUCAAAGAGUCGGAUUGUUUGGGAAUGCAGUCCAAAAUGGGUGGUAAAUUUCAUCUAAAGCUAAAUAUUGGCGAGAGACCGAUAGCGAACAAGUACCGUGAGGGAAAGAUGAAAAGAACUUUGAAAAGAGAGUUAAACAGUACGUGAAAUUGUCAAAAGAGAAGCGUUUGACACCAGUGUUGUUUUCUCGAAAAUCAAUUAAAAAAGAUUGGAUUUUGUGUUGUAUUGACUUUAUCAGCUUUCUGCACUCUUUUCUUGUCUUUUUUAAUGCACUUUUCGUUUAACAAGUCAACAUCAAUUUCUUUUGUUGUAAAAGGGUCAUUGGAAGGUGGCUUUCUUUUCGGAGAAAGUGUUUAUAGCCUUUGGCUUCUGCAAUCGGAGAGAUUGAGGUCUGCAGCGUAGAUCCUUCGGGGUUAGAUACAUUUGUGCUAAGUUAUAGCCUUUCAUAGACAACUUGUUGACUAUGAUCAGUCAUGUAGCUUACUCGCUUAUGCUAUUUUACCUACGCUUAGGAUGUUGAAUCUGUGCGAGACUA